RNAcentral lists this ribosomal RNA (370 nucleotides) under uncultured organism. RNAcentral's name for it is "bacterial SSU rRNA". It matches the Rfam family "Bacterial small subunit ribosomal RNA", at positions 526 to 896 of the family's 1533-position model. The record is from RNAcentral.
CAGAGGGUGCGAGCGUUAAUCGGAGUUACUGGGCGUAAAGGGCGCGUAGGCGGUAAUAUGAGUGUGAUGUGAAAGCCCCGGGCUUAACCUGGGAAGUGCAUCGCAAACGAUAUAACUAGAGUAGAUGAGAGGGUGGCGGAAUUUCCGGUGUAGCGGUGAAAUGCGUAGAGAUCGGAAGGAACGUCGAUGGCGAAGGCAGCCACCUGGCAUCAUACUGACGCUGAGGCGCGAAAGCGUGGGGAGCGAACAGGAUUAGAUACCCUGGUAGUCCACGCCGUAAACGAUGAGAACUAGAUGUUGGUAGGGGAACCUAUCAGUAUCGAAGCUAACGCGAUAAGUUCUCCGCCUGGGAAGUACGGCCGCAAGGUUG